This is a non-coding RNA of Apodemus sylvaticus (European woodmouse), 504 nucleotides long. The record is from the annotation of a RefSeq genome assembly. Lineage: Eukaryota; Metazoa; Chordata; Mammalia; Rodentia; Muridae.
GGCAGCUUUUCAGUGUCUUAAGAAGCAGCUUCUAGACUAGCUCUCAGAGAUGAAGUCAGUUGUUCUCCUGAUAUGGGUGCUACUAUUCUGGGUACCAGGUUCCACUAGGAACAUUGUGCUGACCCAGUCUCCAGCGUCUUUGGCUGUGACUUUGGGACAAAAGGUCACCAUCUCCUGCAGGGCCAGUGAGAGUGUCAAUAAAUUUGGCAUAAAUCUUAUGCACUGGUAUCAACAAAAACCAGGACAACUUCCCAAAAUCCUUAUCUAUACUGUGUACAGUCGAGCACCUGGGAUCCCUGCCAGGUUCAGUGGUGAUGAGGAUGAUUUAAACUUCACCCUCACCAUUAAUCCUGUGGAAGCUGAUGAUGCUGCAACCUAUUACUGUCAGCAAGGACUAACAGUUCCUCCCACAGCCAUUUAUGUCUAAGCAAAAACCUCCCAGGGCUGCUGCACACUGAGGCUCAAUGUCUCAGAUGUCUUUCCCCUAAGACAUCUUAAUAAGAG